UUACUAAAGCAUUAAAGGGAUACUUAAACACUAAAACUUUUAAAAUGGGCAUUUAAAAAUGAAAUGUUGCAGGGAGUAAAUUAAUUUGCUGAGAGUUGCAAUUUUCCAUAAAUCGGAAAACCGAUCUUUGAUAAAUAAAGAAUUAUUUAAAAUUUAAAUAAUAAAACUUAGUGAACUGAACCAUCUAAGUAACUAAGAAUAAAAUCAACCGAGAUACUGUUAUUAGUGGCGAGCGAAUACAGUAAAUAGACUUUAAUUAUUAAAAAUAUUAAAAAAUACAUAAGUAGCCAAAGAAGGUUGCCUGUAAUUUAAGGAUAGCCCUGUAUUUUAAUAUUUAAAAUUUUUUAAAAAACAGUAAAAUGAAACAAGUCAUGUUUUGUUUGAAACAUGGGGCCCCAUCCUCAAAGUCUAAAAAUUUUUAGUGAUUGAUAGUGAACAAGUACCGUAAGGGAAAAGUGAAAAAGACUUUGCGAAAGUGAAAAGAUUUUGAAAUUUAAUGCUGACAAUCUGUUGUAGCUUAAAAAAGUGACAGCGUACCUUUUGCAUAAUGGACCAACAAGUUUAUUUUAUCGGCGAGCUUAAGCAUUAAAAUGCAUAGGCGUAAAGAAAAUAAGUUUUAAAAUGCGGUUAAGUCGUUAAAUUAAGACCCGAAACUAAGUGAUCUAACCAUGAACAGGCUGAAUUUUAGGCGGAAAACGCCUUUUGGAGGGCCGAACUCGUGUAUGUGGAAAAAUACUGAGAUGAUUCGUGGUUAGGGGUGAAAGGCCAAUCAAACUUAGAGAUAGCUGGUUUUCUGCGAAAUCUAUUUAAGUAGAACGUUUAAAGAACUUUGAUAGGGGUAGAGCUCUUAAUAAACAAUGGGGGCUUAACGCUUUAUUGAGUUUAUUAAAACUUCGAAUACUAUAUAUAAAUGACUUUAAACAGACAGACUUUGAGUGCUAAGAUUCAGAGUCAAGAGGGAAACAGCCCAGAUUACUAACUAAGGUUCUCAAAAAUAUUUUAGUGAAAAAAUUGUGAAAAAAUAUCGACAAUCGAUAGGUAGGCUUAGAAGCAGCCAUCCUUUAAAGAAAGCGUAACAGCUCAUUGGUUCAGUUUUUUUGCAUUGAAAAUGUAUAGAACUAAAAAUAUUUACCGAAGUUGUAAAUUUAUUUUUUUAAUAUAUGGUAGCAGAACGUUCUGUAAAUCAAAAAAGUUUUAUAGUUAUAUAAAAUGAAGAUAUCAGAAAUGAAAAUGUUGGUAUGAGUAACGAUAAACAAUGUGUAAAACAUUGUCGCCUUAAGUUUAAGGUUUCCAAAACAAGGCUAAUCCGUUUUGGUUUUAAAGUUAAUCGGUCUCUAAGAAUUGAAACGAAAGUUUUAUUUAAUGAGAUAAUAAAAAUUAAUUUUAUAGUAAUUUUAAAGUGACAAAAUAUAAAUAUUAUUUUCAUUUUAUGGUUAAAAUGAAAGUUUUAUAGUAUUUUCAAGAAAUAGCUUUAAAAAAUUUAAACCGUACCUUAAACCGACACAGGUAAACAAGUUUAGUAAACUAAGGCGCUUGAGUGAAUUAUGUUGAAGGAACUCGGCAAAAUGACUCCGUAACUUCGGGAGAAGGAGUGACUUUAUUAGGGUAACCUGAUGAAGUUGUCACAAAAUCGGGGACAGCGACUGGUUAAUAAAACCACAGGUCUUUGCUAAUUCGUAAGAAGAUGUAUUAAGACUGACGCCUGCCCAGUGCUGCAAGAUUAAAGGAAGAGGUCUUUUGGCUUUAACCUAAACUCCCAGUAAACGGCGGCUGUAACUCUGACGGUCCUAAGGUAGCGAAAUUCCUUGGCAUUUAAUUGGUGUCCUGCAUGAAUGGCGUAACGACUGUCCCACUGUCUCCAACAUAAGCUCAGUGAAAUUGAAUUUUUCGUGAAGAUGCGAAAUUCUUGCGGCUAGACGGAAAGACCCCGUGCACCUUUACUAUAGUUAUGCAUUGGAAUGAAUUAUUUUUUGUGUAGGAUAAGUGGGAAAUUGUAAAUAGCUAUUUGCAUUAGUGAAUUGGUAAAAUACUUGUGAAAUACCACUCUGAAAAUUUUUUAUUCCUUAUUUUUUAAAACAGUGUAUAAUGGGUAGUUUGACUGGGGCGGUCGCCUCCUAAAGAGUAACGGAGGCGUACAAAGGUAAUCUUAAGUUGAACUAGAACAACUUUAAAGCGUAAUAGUAUAUGUUUGCCUGACUGUAAGAUUGACAAAUCAAGCAGGGACGAAAGUCGGUUAUAGUGAUCCGGUGAUUCUGCGUGGAAAAGGUCACCGCUCAACGAAUAAAAGGUACGCCGGGGAUAACAGGCUAAUCACUCUUUAGAGACCCUAUCGACGGAGUGGUUUGGCACCUCGAUGUUGGAUUAUCGCAUCCUGGAGCUGAAGGCGGUUCCAAGGGUUUGGCUGUUCGCCAAUGAAGGCGGUACAUGAUCUGAGUUUAGAACGUCGUGAGACAGUUUGGUCCCUAUCUACCGCAAGUGCAAAAAAUUGAGAAGAGUAAACUCUAGUACGAGAGGACCGAGAAAAGUAAAUCCAUGGUGAGUCGAUUGUUAGACCAAUAGCAUUGUCGAGUAGCUACAUUUAUAAUAAAUAAUCACUGAAAGCAUCUUAAGUGAGAAAUUAACUUCGAUACAAAUUUUUUAAAAAAUGUAAUAAAUGAUUACAUAGAUAGGCUUGGUGUGUAAUAGCUGUAAGGUUUUAAGCUCACAAGUACUAAAAAUAUAAUUUUUAUAACUUUUAAU
RNAcentral lists this ribosomal RNA (2739 nucleotides) under Nitzschia traheaformis. Its description in RNAcentral is "large subunit ribosomal RNA". It matches the Rfam family "Bacterial large subunit ribosomal RNA". The record is from RNAcentral. Lineage: Eukaryota; Bacillariophyta; Bacillariophyceae; Bacillariales; Bacillariaceae.